GUGGGUAACCUGCCUUAUAGUGGGGGAUAGCCUUUCGAAAGGAAGAUUAAUACCUCAUAAGAUUGUAGUAUCGCAUGAUAUAGCAAUUAAAGGAGCAAUUCGCUAUAAGAUGGACCCGCGUCGCAUUAGCUAGUUGGUGAGGUAAUGGCUCACCAAGGCGACGAUGCGUAGCCGACCUGAGAGGGUGAUCGGCCACAUUGGGACUGAGACACGGCCCAGACUCCUACGGGAGGCAGCAUG
RNAcentral lists this ribosomal RNA (240 nucleotides) under uncultured bacterium. RNAcentral's name for it is "partial 16S ribosomal RNA". It matches the Rfam family "Bacterial small subunit ribosomal RNA", at positions 117 to 353 of the family's 1533-position model. The record is from RNAcentral.